RNAcentral lists this transfer RNA (71 nucleotides) under Parcubacteria group bacterium. RNAcentral's name for it is "tRNA-Ala". It matches the Rfam family "tRNA". Rfam says of the family: Transfer RNA (tRNA) molecules are approximately 80 nucleotides in length. Their secondary structure includes four short double-helical elements and three loops (D, anti-codon, and T loops). RNAcentral also lists the same sequence under 1 other name. The record is from RNAcentral.
GGGCCCGUAGUUAAGUGGUACAACGCCGCAUUCGCAUUGCGGAGGCAGGGGUUCGACUCCCCUCGGGUCCA